RNAcentral lists this ribosomal RNA (244 nucleotides) under uncultured Staphylococcus sp. Its description in RNAcentral is "partial 16S ribosomal RNA". It matches the Rfam family "Bacterial small subunit ribosomal RNA", at positions 96 to 334 of the family's 1533-position model. The record is from RNAcentral. Lineage: Bacteria; Bacillati; Bacillota; Bacilli; Caryophanales; Staphylococcaceae.
CGGCGGACGGGUGAGUAACACGUGGAUAACCUACCUAUAAGACUGGGAUAACUUCGGGAAACCGGAGCUAAUACCGGAUAAUAUAUUGAACCGCAUGGUUCAAUAGUGAAAGACGGUUUUGCUGUCACUUAUAGAUGGAUCCGCGCCGCAUUGGCUAGUUGGUAAGGUAACGGCUUACCAAGGCAACGAUGCGUAGCCGACCUGAGAGGGUGAUCGGCCACACUGGAACUGAGACACGGUCCAG